RNAcentral lists this non-coding RNA (21 nucleotides) under Caenorhabditis elegans. Lineage: Eukaryota; Metazoa; Nematoda; Chromadorea; Rhabditida; Rhabditidae. The record is from RNAcentral.
UCGAUUAGUAGACAAAACUAG